GAUGAACGCUGGCGGCGUGCCUAAUACAUGCAAGUCGAGCGAACAGACGAGGAGCUUGCUCCUCUGACGUUAGCGGCGGACGGGUGAGUAAAACGUGGAUAACCUACCUAUAAGACUGGGAUAACUUCGGGAAACCGGAGCUAAUACCGGAUAAUAUAUUGAACCGCAUGGUUCAAUAGUGAAAGACGGUUUUGCUGUCACUUAGAGAUGGAUCCGCGCCGCAUUAGCUAGUUGGUAAGGUAACGGCUUACCAAGGCGACGAUGCGUAGCCGACCUGAGAGGGUGAUCGGCCACACUGGAACUGAGACACGGUCCAGACUCCUACGGGAGGCAGCAGUAGGGAAUCUUCCGCAAUGGGCGAAAGCCUGACGGAGCAACGCCGCGUGAGUGAUGAAGGUCUUCGGAUCGUAAAACUCUGUUAUUAGGGAAGAACAAAUGUGUAAGUAACUAUGCACGUCUUGACGGUACCUAAUCAGAAAGCCACGGCUAACUACGUG
This 497-nucleotide ribosomal RNA is filed under the name uncultured bacterium. RNAcentral describes it as "partial 16S ribosomal RNA". It matches the Rfam family "Bacterial small subunit ribosomal RNA", at positions 28 to 507 of the family's 1533-position model. The record is from RNAcentral.